This 301-nucleotide ribosomal RNA is filed under the name uncultured bacterium. Its description in RNAcentral is "partial 16S ribosomal RNA". It matches the Rfam family "Bacterial small subunit ribosomal RNA", at positions 509 to 809 of the family's 1533-position model. The record is from RNAcentral.
CAGUCGCCGCGGGAAUACGAAGGGGGCUAGCGUUGUUCGGAAUUACUGGGCGUAAAGCGCACGUAGGCGGAUAUUUAAGUCAGGGGUGAAAUCCCGCAGCUCAACUGCGGAACUGCCUUUGAUACUGGGUAUCUUGAGUAUGGAAGAGGUUAGUGGAAUUGCGAGUGUAGAGGUGAAAUUCGUAGAUAUUCGCAGGAACACCAGUGGCGAAGGCGGCUAACUGGUCCAUAACUGACGCUGAGGUGCGAAAGCGUGGGGAGCAAACAGGAUUAGAUACCCCUGUAGUCCCUGUCUCUUAUAA